GUGGCCUCAGCGCUCGGCAGGCGCGCACUCAGCUCCACACCCGGCUCUCUCGGCAUCUCAGACCCGGAAAAAUCCCUCUGCUUUCUCUGGCCAGUUUCACACAAUCAUCAGGUGAGCCGAGGAUCCAUUGGAGGAAGGCAUUAUCUGUAUCCAGAGGAAAUAGCCAAGGAUAUUCAAGGUGUGCCUGGGAAGUUUGAGCUGCAGCAGUGGAACCUUAAUGCCCAGGAUGAUCCUGUCUAACACCACAGCGGUGACGCCCUUUCUGACCAAGCUGUGGCAGGAGACAGUUCAGCAGGGUGGCAACAUGUCGGGCCUGGCCCGCAGGUCCCCCCGCAGCAGUGACGGCAAGCUGGAGGCCCUCUACGUCCUCAU
This 372-nucleotide long non-coding RNA is filed under the name Homo sapiens (human). Its description in RNAcentral is "non-protein coding lnc-SMIM34A-1:1". Lineage: Eukaryota; Metazoa; Chordata; Mammalia; Primates; Hominidae. The record is from RNAcentral.